UGAAAAAUAAACACCAAACGGUUCAAGCUUCCUUCAACUUCUUUGUUCUAUUGCCCUAUAAUCUUCACUUUCCCCAAAUCUAUGUUAAUGGCACGGGCUUCUUCCAAAUUUGCUGUUAUAAACCAAAAGCCAACUCGGCAGACGUGUCUUCCACUAAUGGAGAUGAAAAGGUCUCGGAAAUUCUGUACCUCGUUGAAGGCGAUUCGUCUAAAGAGCUCUGAAACUCGGGGAACAAGAUCAUUGGAAAAAGAGGAAGCUUUAUUAGGGAAGAAGACUAAACAAACGCCGUUGGGUACAUUUAAGGUUUUGAGUUAUAAUGUCUGUUUUUGGGACUUAGAAUUGCGCGAGAGGAUGGAAGCAAUUGGUGAUCUCAUUCAACUACAUUCGCCUGAUGUUGUAUGUUUACAAGAGGUUACACAAGAAAUGUACCACAUUUUCAAACAGUCCACCUGGUGGUGGAAAGCAUAUCGAUGUUCGGCUUCAUAUGAUUUCGAGAAUGUCAAACCUUAUUUCUGUAUGCAGUUGAGCAAAUUAACAGUAAAAUCUUAUAGCUGUACACCCUUCAGCAACUCUAAAAUGGGGAGAGAGUUAUGUUUGACUGAGAUUCAAGUUGGUGGUGGAAGGAGCAAGCAAUUGGUCAUUGCUACUAGCCAUCUUGAAAGCCCUUGUCCUGCCCCACCAACAUGGACUCAGAUGUACAGCAAAGAACGCGUAGCUCAAGCAAAAGAAGCCAUGUCGAUUCUGAAGGGUUGGCCAAAUGUCAUAUUUUGUGGCGACAUUAACUGGGAUGAGAAGAAGGAUGGUCCGUUUCCAUUGCCUGAAGGAUGGGUCGAUGCUUGGACAGAGCUGAAGCCUGGAGAUAGCGGAUACACCUACGAUACCAAGUCAAAUCAGAUGAUAUCUGCCAAUUGGCCACUGAGGAUGCGAUUAGAUCCGUUUGUUUGCAAUUUUCAAGAUUUUAAAAUAUGUGAGAUUGAAAUGAUUGGAAUGGAAGCAAUACCAGGCCUUUCAUAUCGUAAGGAGAAGAAAUUAAGGGGUCAGUUGCAAGAGUUGAUGCUCCCUGUUUUGCCUAGUGAUCAUUAUGGAUUGCUCUUAACUAUCAUGAAACUGUGGUCGAGGUUGUAUAAUUUGUCGCUAGAUUCUUUAGAGGAAACCAGAUUAAGACAGUGUUUUGCUCUCCUUCUUUAUCGGACUCGGGCACUUACAUGGUAUGAUCCGAAGAUUUAGCCCAUUUUCUCGAUCGGACGGUUGAUAUAGAGUAACUUGUGGAGCAAAGGUAUAAAACAGAUCCACUCCCGUCCAUUGAUAUCCGAGUAGGCUAAUCUCUGUUCAGUGUUUUUUCCUGUACUUUUCUGUAUAUCACAGUCGAGCUUGAGAUUGAAAGAAGAGAGAGGGGGAGAGAAUGGUGGGUGCAUUCUUGGGGCAAGGAUAAUGGAGAUAGUGAAAAAGCAUGAAUCAGGAGGACUCAUUUGGAAGAUAAUUAAGCUCACAACUGCAAGAAAAGUCAAUGCCAAGAAGAGACUUCUCAGAAUUUGGCAGUCCGGGAGGUAGUAAGAAAGAAGCCAAGACAGCAGGUAAGGCGUUUGAUGCAAGAUAGACUCGUAUGACAAUCUCAAAGAACAUAAACAUGGGAAGUGGGACCUUGUCCGUGAUUAAGUAGGCACAUUUUGGUUCAUGUUGCGUAUAAGAAUUACAUGCUGCUAGACGUGUAAUCAGUAGACUCUGUGCAGCAUGUAUAUGUACCAUAACUACAUGGUUAAGCGCAUGGUUUGCCUUUUUAACCCUUGAAGGAGUACCUUUUUCUAUUUCAGAACUUAGUAUUGGAUGCGUUGUAGAGGUUCUCACUUCUAUGUAGAUUCAAGGAGAUAAACUCAGUCCUUGUUUUUGUAUAUAUUUCGAGAUUUGCAUUAUUCUUCUGCAGAACGAGGCUGUGUUGAAGGCCUGUGCUGCACGAUUCCUUCAGAAACUCCAGUGGGUGGUGUGUCCACGGUGUAGAUAAUGUGGAUUGUCAGUCAACUUAACAAACUAAUGAAGGGAGAAACCUAGGUGAGCCUGAUGUUGCAACAUGGUGCUUCCAGCUUAAAUGUGUAUUUCUUGCAGCAACUUCACCUUAAAAUCUAGGUUAGCUUGAUUUUAUAACUCAGUGUGUUGAUUUUGCAUCGUAUAAAUGUGAAAUUUGUGUUAAUGCUGUGCCAUGGUUUAGCAUUAGGGAGAAUGUACUUUUUGCUUUUUGAACAUACUCCUGCUUUAACACUGUAUUAACCUUGGUUAUUAUUGAGUGCAUCGAUAGA
Papaver somniferum (opium poppy) is the source of this 2291-nucleotide RNA transcript. RefSeq lists it as uncharacterized. The record is from RefSeq and is a predicted model, not a curated record. NCBI's taxonomy places the organism in Eukaryota, Viridiplantae, Streptophyta, Magnoliopsida, Ranunculales, Papaveraceae. The transcript is spliced from 5 exons.